UCUGUACAGCCCCCUGAAUGAGAUAAAGAAACAACCGAAGUUCUCGUGUAUUUGAACAAGUGUUGUUUUGAGCAUUGAAUACGUAAUAAUUGUUGAAUAUAAUAAUAUUAUCUUGCCUUCAAUUCUAAUUAAUUUUCCAUACAGAUAUUUCAAACCACAUACGGCUCGUUAAGGUACGUAACCUAAUUGGUGUCACUUAUGGUAGCAGCGUAGAACUCUAGAAGCGGUGCAGCAAAUCCAGCAAAUUCGGUGCUGCAAACAAACACAAAACUGUGGAUGCAAACGCUGCUACAUCGAACACAAAUAAUUUACACACCAGAUAUUAGGUUUAAUGUCACUUUUUUACGUGCAAUUAAACCUUUUGGUCAACACAAUCACGGGAAGAAUUGGAACAGCAUGGUUUAGGUGCUUUUGCCGUUUAUCAUCGCAACGUGUGUCAACUGGGUUUUGCCAAUGAGUUGGCCGUGCCAUUAGCAGCUAAAACACAGAAACUAAAGGGUAAAUUUAAUUGUCGUAUUGCUUUACAAGGAUUCACCGAAAUUAGUUCAAUGGAAAUGGAUGUUAAGACAAGAACGUUGCCAGUGUUGAAACAUAAGAAAUUGGAUGGAUCUAAAGAAACCAAAAGAGUCCUCACAUAAUGCGCGCAUCUUACACUUCCUGGCCGCACAGAGUAUUUGAUAUUUGCCACUCUUCCUCCAGCCUUUGUCAGAUGUCAAAAAUUUUGUUAUUAAAUUUUCAUUUCGGGUUUUAGAAGAACUAACCUUAAAUAGCGGGUAUAGUUUCAGGGCUUUUGUGGGUCGCAGUACUGAAAGUGCACGGGGAAUUUUCGUUCGCAGUUUUGGGUCUUUCAUUCGUGAUUGUACCAAGAUCAUACCCCGAAUUGUGCAAGAUAUAUAUAUAAAUUUUUAAAUGAUGAAUGUAAUGUGCAAGAAAGGGAUGAACGAUCAUACGUACACAAGAGUUUCGGACACUUUUGUCAAUUCAUCCUUAAGGAUCGCAUAGAAACUUUCAUUGAAACUGCUAGUACCGCUCCCUGGCCUUUCACAGAAGAAUUCGCUGGUACCUGACUUGCAGGAUAUACAAUACAAAUUACAUAUCACUUCUAUUACGAUUGUUACAAAUAUUCGUACGUUCAUUUGUAUAUAAAUGCUAUUGUAACAAUAUUUUACAUUUAAAUUAAUAAAUUUAGUGCUAUUGCGAACGUUCAAAAUUUAUAAAUUAACAAUCAUAAUAUUGAAAACGAUAAAUUGUAAGUUCAGCUUAAUAAUCCCUGCAUAGUCAAAUCAGAAGCAAGAUGAACAACUUCGGCGCUUCAAAAUGUUUUUUUGAGAUCUGUUAAUUGUUAACUAUGUGUAGAUCCAAGGGCAUCAUAGGAGACAGUGUGUUUAGCACUUCGAAAAUAAGUAGUGAAACUGCUACUUCAAAAGUCCGAAGUAAUUUGUUGUACAUCACCCGAUGCCUGAAAAAUAUUUAUAGUUGGCUAGAAAUAAUUAAAAUAUCUAUAUUCGUAGAAUAACUUACUAAUAGAGGGUUGGAAGUUUGUUAAGGCAUUCGACGAAGCGACAACCGAAUCGGGUGAUGCAGAUUUUGUUGUUGCUAACGAAUGACUCAAUCGAACCGCUGAACAAAAGUAGCGGUGAAAUUAAUUAUGGCUUCACUAAAGACAUAUAAAAUAGAUGCCGGCGCUAUCAACCAUCUUACCUCGGAUAAUGAGAUGGGUGAAGUGGAGGAAGAUCCUAUGGAGUCCUCGAGCGAUGUCGAUAGCCUCGAAUAAGCAAAGUAGCGUCAGUAGCCCUAAUUAACCGCAUGGCAACAGAUCAGCCUGACUUUGUCCUCAUUGAGGAGCCAUGGGUUAAUAGAGGGCAGAUUUGCGGCCUGAGGACGUCGAAUUAUAAACUAUACAUGUCACAUUACGAAGUAACAAAGACACCACGGCAGUAAGCUGGGAGACGGGUAGAGGUAGUUACCAGCUUGUCUCUUGUCACAUGACGUAUAAUGAGGAGCAGGUACCAUCACUGCAAAUAAAAAGGUUGGUGCAAGAAAGAGAAAUGUCCAAGAGCUUAUACUUGGAUGCGACUCCAACGCACAUCAUUCACUAUGGGGUAGUUCAGAUACCUACGCAAGAGAAAUCGACAAGAAGUAUUAGAUAUAACACUUGUGUCGGAAGAACUGAUAGAAAGAGUAACUCGUAAACCAGACAUAGAUGAUGGUCCCCCGAGCUUAAGAAAUCUCAGAAAGAGUCCAGGAGGCAGUUUAUUCUAGCGAAACAAUCCCAAGUAGAGCAGGACUGUGAACGAUACUACAGCCUUCUAAGGUCAUACAAAAAGGAAAUCAAAACGAAAAUCGUGGAAAUUCUUCUGUGAAGAAAUCGAGACCACGACAGAAGCGUCUCGGUUAAGAAAGGUAAUAGCAAAAGCUACACAUAACGUUAGGUACCUACAGAAGCCAGAUCAGAGCUGGACGGAAUCCAGUGAAGAAACCUUAAAAUUGCUGAUGAAUACUCACUUCCCGGGCAGCUCAGAGAGCUUAACCGCUGAGUAUACACUAGAUACUGAAGUGGACACAGAUCUUAAUAUUGGAGACUUAAUAUCAAUUGACAAAAUAAGAUUGGCAAUUAACAGUUUCAAGCCUUCUAAAUCUUCUCAAUUGCAGAAAUCGUUCAGUUACGUAUCGGGCUGGUUAAUAACCAUUCUCGAAGGGACUAUACAUACCAAAAGCGGGUAAAAGCUCUCAUACUAGUCCAAAGGAUUUUAGACCAAUCAGUCUUUCUUCAUUUCUACUAAAAACACUGGAAAGAUUAAUAGAAAUUAAUAUAAGAUGCAGGCUAACUCCGGAAUAGCUAGCAGUUUCACAACACGCGUACUCCAAAGGAAAAACCACGGAAAUAGCUUUAAACUCGGUGGUGACCGAGAUUGAAAGGGCUCAGGAAGGAAGUAAAGGAAUACGCUCGCAUAGCCUUCUUAGACAUAGAAGACGCGUUUAACAACAUCCAGCCUAAGGCCAUAGUCAACGCGCUUAAAGAUCUGGAUGUCUCAGAAUCACUCAUGAAACUUAUAGAACAGAUGCUUCUAGGCAGGUUCAUAACUUCAACGAUGUGCAGAUCUGUCCAUAGGGAUACACCUCAAGGAGGCGUGCUAUCCCCACUUCUAUGGAUCUUAACAAUGCUUCUAGGCAGGUUCAUAACUUCAACGAUGUGCAGAUCUGUCCAUAGGGAUACACCUCAAGGAGGCGUGCUAUCCCCACUACUAUGGAUCUUAACAAUGAACAGUAUGUUGUUAGAUCUAGAGAAAGGGGGAGUACAUGUUAUAAGUGAGAAAGCAAGCUACCUGGGGCUAAUUUUAGACAGGAAGCUAUUAUGGAAACCAAACUUGGAUGCCAGAGUAAGGAAGGCAGCUUUAGCACUAUACACUUGCAAAAGGAUGGUUGGACCAAAAUGGGGACUAACCCCCGCGUAUCACAUUGGCUCUACACAGCUGUGGUAAGGCCGAUCAUGAUAUAUGGGAUAUUGGUCUGGUUGCCAAUAAUUGACAAGAAGUACGCAGUAAAGCGUAUGGUAUGUUUACAAAGAGCGGCAUGUAUAUGUAUCAGUGGAGCUCUCAGAACAGCGCUAGCCAGGCAUUAGAUGCGAUUUUGUAUUUACUGCCUAUAGAUCUAUUCUGUAAGCAGCAGGCGGCGAAAUCGGCACUUUCGCUACUGCAAAAUUGCAAUAGGGGACAUUCUAGUAUACUCGGCAAGUUCCCAUUUCUACCAAAUAUUACGGAAUUUCGCCAUCCUAUAGAAAUUAAUCUAAACUCGGAUCUACACAUAUCUUUCCCCUCUAGAGACGAGUGGGAAAUGGAAAAAAUGGACAAAGAUUCAGAGGUUCAAAACUAGACAAACGAGUAGGAGAUGGGGUAUUUUCAGAGAAACUGGAUACCAGAUCGCUUUCCGGUUACCGGAUCAUUGCAGUGUUUUCCAAGCAGAGAUCACUGCAAUUAAAGAAAGCCUGUCUGUCAAAAAUAGUGUUAACGACUAAACACAUAUUCAUAUUCUAGGAUAGUCAAGCGGCUUUAAAACCACUAAAGUCGCAAAGAAUAUAAUCGAUUACACACCUUCUAUGUAAGGAUGUAAAGCUAUGUAUAGGAAAAUAAUCGCAACUAUUGGGCGCGGUUUUCUCGAUGAUGUGGGCGAAGUUGCUCAUAUCAAAUUGUGUAAACUUUUUCACUUUAUUACAGGGUGGUUCAAAGAUGACUCUAUAGUGUGAGAGAUUUUUUAUUGUUUUGUUUUAGUUUUGCAAUUAAAUUAAUUUCAAUAAUACCUGUUGUUGUAGCAUAUUUUGUGUUGUAUUUUUAGGUGGAUGAUUUUUGUUACUUUCUGACGCAAAGAACUACAUGUGCUACUUCCAUUAUACAGCGAAUUCUAGUUCGAAUUUGUAUUGUACGAUUGAUGAGCGAUUGCCGUUGUAUGUGUUGAAGAACUGCUGGUAGAAUUCCCCGCGGUCAUACCGAGUAUAGCUACCUUCCUAUAUGGGAGUAAUACUUUAUCUCCGCUUUGUUGUUCCGUAUUCUGGUUAUUGUUGUCUCCAUAAACAUCCAUUACGUUGUUAUUAAUGCAAUGUUAGUGUAUAUUAAUACAAUCUAAUAUGUUUCUAUGAGUCCUCCGCCUGGAGUCGCUAUUGUUGUACUAUCGUAUAUUCUAACAAAAGAUUUUAUGUUAUCUAUAAUAUAAAAAUGAAUCGCAAAAUGUGUUGCUAAGCGCAUAACUCGAGAACCGCUGAACCGAUUUCGCAAAUUCUUUUUUCACAAUGUUCCCUGAAGUGCAAGGAUGGUUCUUACGGGAAGAAAAAUUAAAAAAAUCCUUGAAAAAGUCUAAAAUCCAUACUUUUCAAAUUUCAAAUACAAACAAUUGGUAAUCUUUAGAUGUUAAAAUGAACAAAACAUCGAGAACGGCUGAACCGAUUUAUGGCAGUCAUGCGAACUAUGUAAAUAUGGAAAAUGGCGGAAAAGAUAAUAAUUCUAAAAAAUAUGUGAAUUGACAACAUAUUUAAAAACAAAUGAAAAAUUUUGUAUUUGAAAUAACAUAUAUAUUUCAAACAUUCAAAAAAUAAGUAAAAAAAUAUGAAUUGAAAUGUAAAACACAACUGAAUGUUUUAACCGUAUGUGAUUGAUGAUGAUCGAGUAUACAUUUGCUAUUUGUGCCGAUAUUCCAUCACGUCUGUAAUAAAAUUUCACAUGAAAACAAAAGUCUGUUUGAAGUACAUAUUAAAUAUAUACAGAUUUAAAGAAAAAAUUCUUAUAAAAAUAAAAAGUGUAGUGUGUGUGUUUAUUCACGACAUGCCUCCUAUAAGACGUACAAAUUUAGGAAGAAGAAUCAGAAAUGCAACAAAUCAAAUUAAUUAUCAAUAUAAUCGUACUGCCCAGGAAAAUGAAGAUCGCAAUCAACGUGAAAGGAUUCGGGUAAGUCAGACCCGUGAAGCGCGACAAUCAAAUAAUAAUGGAGCAAGUUUGAAUCGGGCUGCUUUCUGUUACGAUAUGACAAUUGAUUACAGUGCCUACAACUGCGUUCGUAUUGGAUCUAUGAACUCGGUUUGCAAAUAUUGCAAGGCAUUGAAAUACAAAAAUGAAGCCAAUGGAUUGUGUUGCGCAAAUGGAAAAGUGAAAUUGAUUCCAUUAC
This is a long non-coding RNA of Zeugodacus cucurbitae (melon fly), 5652 nucleotides long. RefSeq lists it as uncharacterized. The transcript has 5 exons. Lineage: Eukaryota; Metazoa; Arthropoda; Insecta; Diptera; Tephritidae. The record is from RefSeq and is a predicted model, not a curated record.